GAGUUUGAUCUUGGCUCAGAUUGAACGCUGGCGGCAUGCCUUACACAUGCAAGUCGAACGGCAGCACGGGUGCUUGCACCUGGUGGCGAGUGGCGAACGGGUGAGUAAUGCAUCGGAACGUACCCGGAAGUGGGGGAUAACGUAGCGAAAGUUACGCUAAUACCGCAUAUUCUGUGAGCAGGAAAGCGGGGGAUCGCAAGACCUCGCGCUUCCGGAGCGGCCGAUGUCGGAUUAGCUAGUUGGCGGGGUAAAGGCCCACCAAGGCGACGAUCCGUAGCGGGUCUGAGAGGAUGAUCCGCCACACUGGGACUGAGACACGGCCCAGACUCCUACGGGAGGCAGCAGUGGGGAAUUUUGGACAAUGGGGGCAACCCUGAUCCAGCCAUGCCGCGUGAGUGAAGAAGGCC
Molecule: ribosomal RNA, 407 nt
Filed under: uncultured beta proteobacterium
Lineage: Bacteria; Pseudomonadati; Pseudomonadota; Betaproteobacteria
Description: bacterial SSU rRNA
Rfam family: Bacterial small subunit ribosomal RNA
Source: RNAcentral